UACGGGGAGUGCAAGCGUUGUUCGGAAUUAUUGGGCGUAAAGAGCAUGUAGGUGGCUUUGUAAGUCUGGAGUGAAAUCCCUCGGCCCAACCGAGGAGGUGCUUCAGAAACUACUAGGCUUGAAUCCUGGAGGGGCAAGUGGAAUUCCCAGUGUAGGGGUGAAAUCCGUAGAUAUUGGGAGGAACACCGGUGGCGAAGGCG
This 200-nucleotide ribosomal RNA is filed under the name uncultured bacterium. RNAcentral describes it as "partial 16S ribosomal RNA". It matches the Rfam family "Bacterial small subunit ribosomal RNA", at positions 524 to 723 of the family's 1533-position model. The record is from RNAcentral.